CAACGAAGAUGAAACGACAAGAUGUCUGUUCACGAGCAUACUCUCUCCCUCAACCCUCAACCCCCAACUCUCUCCUCUAACAACUCUGGAAAAUUACUAAAUCGGUAUAUCCAAAUUGCAUCAACCAAUUUCAUAUAUCAAUUAUGAGAUUUCAAAUCUCAAAUUAAAAUCAAUCAAACGACGCUUCUUCUCUUUCGUAGUCAUGUGUCAUUUAUCCUUGCUCACAAAAUUACAGUUUCUUUCUCAUUUUCCUUCUCCAAAAAAGUCAGUUUCUAAUUUUUUUUGUUUUUCCUUUCCUACUCCAUUCGCCAAUUCAAUCCAUAUUUAUUUCUCUACCUCCGUCUUCCUCCAGUUCUGAUUUUUCGAGAUUAAAUUGCAAAGCAGGCGAGACUAAUUAACAGUAAUUUUGCAAAGCAUAUGAAUUCCAAAUUUAUGAACAGGUGUUUGUACGACUUCGUUUUAACGAAUUGAUGGUGGACGGUCCAGAUGGAAAUCUCAGUAUAAGGUAAUUAGUGAGUCUGUCAUAGAUAAAAACUUGAAAUCAUGGCGGCCGAAGCUUCGAAGUCGACUUCAUCCGCCAUCUUACAUCGGCAGUGUUAUUAGUUUGACAUCUAAGAGUGAGAUCAGAUAUGAAGGCAUUCUCUUCAGCAUCAACACUUAAGAAUCCAGUAUUGACCUUCGAAACGAUUAAAGGGAAAAGAAUAAGAUUCAAAUAUCGAUAGAAAAGGAAUAGGGUCAUGGGUGUGGAAUGCAGGACGUCAACAAAAUGAGGAUAAAAUGUUUGUUUCUUAUAUUAGGUGUACUGAACAUUAAAAGCUAAAAAAUGAAUAAUUUUAGAUUGUAACUAUUCUGUUUGAUUUUAUCUGUUAUGUUUGGUAUAACUAUUAAAGAAUGUAAUACUAAAACUGUUGUUCAAAAUAUUUAACUUCUACGUAACUAUUAGAAUAAUGAGACUUCUAUGUAAAUGCUACAAGUACAAAUUAUUAUUCAAUAAAACAUUUUUUUUAAAACAAA
Long non-coding RNA from Spinacia oleracea (spinach), 1014 nucleotides. RefSeq lists it as uncharacterized. Lineage: Eukaryota; Viridiplantae; Streptophyta; Magnoliopsida; Caryophyllales; Amaranthaceae. The record is from RefSeq and is a predicted model, not a curated record. The transcript has 4 exons.